GAGUUUUUAUUCCUUUAAAACAAUUUCAUCUAGAAACCACUGGCUACCUGGCAUUUUGAAGGCUUUCCAGUGGUUGAACAUUUACAAGAACGAUUUUGAACCGGUAACUGCCAACUUCCCAAUGCUAAUCAUUACUUAAUAUCCUCUGACCUGCGUGAUGUGGCCUUUUGUCCAACUUCCUGUUUCUUUAGUGCUCACAGUUCAGUGGCUUAAUUGUCCUUUUUACAACUACUCUGAGAAAGGAAAAAAAAAACAAGAUUUCUUAAUAGUAUUCCCUGGUUUGUGCCAAAGGACCCUAAUCUCCAAGGAGAGAGAAGCAGUCUUAGCUUGAGGAAGUGUCAAGAGCUCUUACAGGUCCUGGUCCUCAUCCCGUGUGCAAAGCCUGCUCGCCACUACACCCCAUGCUGCCUCCCAGCCCCCAGGAAAAGGGCAAGAGGAAGAGGACGGUGUACCUGUUACCACAUAUUUCCACUCCCGUGUCGCUGGUCACAAUCACGUGGCCUCAUGCAGCUGCCAGGGUGGCUUCACUUCAGUGUUCUCCAGAAAGAACUCCUCCCUCUGGUUGGCUUGCUCAGCUGCCUCACGGACAGAAUCCACAGCAUUUGAACAAGCAGGAAGAUUUUGCUUGUUUAGCAGGGACGUGAGGUGGCCCACCGUCCGCACCGUCCCCACCAUCCUGGUCGUGCAUGGCCCUCCUCAUCAUCUGUCACCUGGAACACUGGAUGGGCCCCUAACUCGGCUCCCUUGCCCUGGGCCUGUCUUCCCCUAAUCCAGCCUCCUCAGUGCUUUCUAGAAAGUACAUUUGACCUUGUUUCAUCCUCUGAACCCAAUCCCCCUUUACCCAGGCUUCUCCAUCUCAGCAAAUAACAGUUCCGACCAGAAAUGUGGGAGACGUCACUGCCUCCUCCCUUCCCCUAAUGCUACCCACACGCAUUCUCAUCCCCUUCCCUCUAUCUCCAAAUAUAUUCACCCUGAUCCAUUUCUUUUCAUCUCUGCACCAACUUAGUUCAUGGCAUGGUCACUUGGCAGAAGUCAUUGCCCAUGAGGACGUCUGUCAGCCUCUGCUCUGGAUCUUGCCACUUCCCUCAUUGCACUAACCUCCCAUCGGUUCCAGGAGUCUUCUAAACUCUUCCUGCUGUAGGGUCUUUGCACUUGCUGCUUCCCCAACCCCUCUUGGAACACUCCUUCUGCUGGUUUUCAUGAGACCAGCUCCUUCUCAUCUUUCGGGGCUCAACUAGAAGGUCACUUCCCUAGAGAGACUUUCCUGGGCUAUUCUCUCUAAAGAGGAUUCCUCCUUUUAAUCUCCAUCCCAGAAUCCUGUUUCUUUCCUUCCUGAUCCCCAAUAUAAAGUCUUAUUAAUUUAACGAAUUGAUUUGUAUACUUAUUUAGCCUGUCAUUGUCUGUCUCCCCACUAGAAUGUACCAUCAGGUACAUGAGAAGCUCAUCUGUCUUGUUCAACGUGAUAUCCCCAGGGCCCGCCACAGGCCUGCGCGGGGUGCGUGCUCAGUUAAUAUUUGUUAACUGAACGUAAUAAACAAA
This is a long non-coding RNA of Ailuropoda melanoleuca (giant panda), 1539 nucleotides long. RefSeq lists it as uncharacterized. NCBI's taxonomy places the organism in Eukaryota, Metazoa, Chordata, Mammalia, Carnivora, Ursidae. The record is from RefSeq and is a predicted model, not a curated record. The transcript has 3 exons.